Molecule: long non-coding RNA, 957 nt
Filed under: Heterocephalus glaber (naked mole-rat)
Lineage: Eukaryota; Metazoa; Chordata; Mammalia; Rodentia; Bathyergidae
Description: lncRNA (ENSHGLG00100033133.1)
Source: RNAcentral
GGCGAGAAAAUGAUGGAGGCGGGGAGAAUGCUAAUCACACCGCCUUGAGAACUGGGGCGGGAAUCCCGGGCCUGAAGUCCCACUGAGUUUGCCGCACGCGCUCGCCUGCUGCACGGUACUAGCUACGAAGCUCUCCUUUCAGGGCCCCACUUCGGCUCCUCUUGCAUCCUAGCCCUUAAAGGUCAGCGCUUGUGUAAAUAGAACUGCAGUGCCACCUGUCUCCCUUCUGCGCGCUUGCACUGGGUGACGAAGAGGCAAUACUUAGUCCCUAGUGUAUGCCUAACAGUAAUUAAUCGUCAUUAAUGCAAGACCUGAAGCUCCUACAAUUUCGAGGUGAGGAAACCGAGGUGCAAAGAGAUUAAGUCACCUGCCCACAGGUGUACAGUGAGCAGCUGGCCACCUUCCCUUGCAGGGGUUGUUUUUGCUGUAACUCCACUGUGGACUGAUUUGAAGGGUCUGUGCCAGAUACCCUGUGCUGUUCCACCCUGACAAAGACACCGGCACAAGCAGAGUUCCACAGGACUCAUCUGUCUCCCAUCCUCCACGGUACUUCUCCAGGAACCACUGAUUUAAGCCAUCUUUUGAGCCACCAUCAAAGGACAGAACAGGAAGACAAUUAAGGGAGAUCCAAAUCACCAUGUUCUGAGGGUGGGGAACAAUGAACAAGGUGUUGUCUCCUUCCGUCCUCUGACAUUAUCUUAGCAUAGCUUGGUUUUGAUGGUACCCAAACUUGCUGGAGUUAUCCAGCCAUUCUAGUUUCCUACACUGGAGGCAAAGCUGACCUGUCCUGUGAAUCAGUUCAGACUGGGCUCUGAUUACAUCGUAUGUCUAGCUGGCGCAGUGAAACAUUAACUCAUUCCUUUUUAUCAUGGACCAGGGCAGGUUUCAUGUGAGGAUGAAGUCCAGUUAUUCCAUGGCUCCAGUGGGUGUGAGGCCUAGCUGGUUUCCUGAGGGUGG